Molecule: ribosomal RNA, 153 nt
Filed under: Streptococcus pyogenes
Lineage: Bacteria; Bacillati; Bacillota; Bacilli; Lactobacillales; Streptococcaceae
Also listed under: 1 other name
Description: partial 16S ribosomal RNA
Rfam family: Bacterial small subunit ribosomal RNA
Source: RNAcentral
UGUACACACCGCCCGUCACACCACGAGAGUUUGUAACACCCGAAGUCGGUGAGGUAACCUAUUAGGAGCCAGCCGCCUAAGGUGGGAUAGAUGAUUGGGGUGAAGUCGUAACAAGGUAGCCGUAUCGGAAGGUGCGGCUGGAUCACCUCCUUU